This 759-nucleotide ribosomal RNA is filed under the name Staphylococcus aureus. Its description in RNAcentral is "partial 23S ribosomal RNA". It matches the Rfam family "Bacterial large subunit ribosomal RNA", at positions 1461 to 2217 of the family's 2925-position model. The record is from RNAcentral. Lineage: Bacteria; Bacillati; Bacillota; Bacilli; Caryophanales; Staphylococcaceae.
UCGAUGGGGGGACGCAGUAGGAUAGGCGAAGCGUGCGAUUGGAUUGCACGUCUAAGCAGUAAGGCUGAGUAUUAGGCAAAUCCGGUACUCGUUAAGGCUGAGCUGUGAUGGGGAGAAGACAUUGUGUCUUCGAGUCGUUGAUUUCACACUGCCGAGAAAAGCCUCUAGAUAGAAAAUAGGUGCCCGUACCGCAAACCGACACAGGUAGUCAAGAUGAGAAUUCUAAGGUGAGCGAGCGAACUCUCGUUAAGGAACUCGGCAAAAUGACCCCGUAACUUCGGGAGAAGGGGUGCUCUUUAGGGUUAACGCCCAGAAGAGCCGCAGUGAAUAGGCCCAAGCGACUGUUUAUCAAAAACACAGGUCUCUGCUAAACCGUAAGGUGAUGUAUAGGGGCUGACGCCUGCCCGGUGCUGGAAGGUUAAGAGGAGUGGUUAGCUUCUGCGAAGCUACGAAUCGAAGCCCCAGUAAACGGCGGCCGUAACUAUAACGGUCCUAAGGUAGCGAAAUUCCUUGUCGGGUAAGUUCCGACCCGCACGAAAGGCGUAACGAUUUGGGCACUGUCUCAACGAGAGACUCGGUGAAAUCAUAGUACCUGUGAAGAUGCAGGUUACCCGCGACAGGACGGAAAGACCCCGUGGAGCUUUACUGUAGCCUGAUAUUGAAAUUCGGCACAGCUUGUACAGGAUAGGUAGGAGCCUUUGAAACGUGAGCGCUAGCUUACGUGGAGGCGCUGGUGGGAUACUACCCUAGCUGUGUUGG